CGCUCUUUCCAGGAGUCUUUUUGACACAGCAUUGACGAUAUAUGGAAGAGCUCAAGACACCUUUAUACACCUGAACCUGAAAUUAUUGUGAAACAUGACACCUAGAAGGUCAAGAUCAGAUUUCAUUAAGACUUCAAUCAAGCUUCCUGUGUGAUUUUCUUUACACCAUUUCAUCAUAUAUUGAUUAUUUUUUAUUCUUUACUCAAUCUGUAGAAUUAAAAUUGCAAGUGAAGUUAUUGGAGAAGAUAUGAUACUUAACAGAAUUCACAUUUCUGUGCAAAGUUACUAUAUGUGCCAAGAUUAUUAUCAGAUAUUCAGGAUUUGGAAUUUGUUCCAUUACUGGUAUAGAUUCAACUCAAUGGUGCUUUCCUAUUUGCCAAAAAUGUGGACAUCUGUUUUAUCUACUUAACAAGAAUUUGCAAACUUGCAACUCUUGUUAUUCUGCUAUGUCUAUCUGCAAAUAUUGGUUUGAUAUUUAACACCUUACUUCCUGACACUUCUUCAGAUUCAGCUUAGCCCACCUCCAUUAAUCAAAUGUUUCCAGAAUCACAAUGGUCAUAUCUGCUAAUGAGUUUCAUAGCUGUGUCCCACAAGUGAGUCUACACCAGUAUCACAGCAUCUAUAAUCACAUCAUAGAGAGAGAAAAAUGUUCUAAAUACGAAGCUUACUGAUACAUAACUUUAUACAUGGAUAUAAGGCUGCUAUGAACAACUUUGGAAAUAAAUGAAACAGUGCUCAACAUCUAAAAGAAUGAGUUCCCAUGUCUGUGCCUAUCCAGGACUGAGAACUCCACAUCUGGAUACAGAUUAGCAUGGGUAUUCACUACAUUAAUGGAUAAAGAGAUGCCUUGGAUUCAGAGCAUCUAAGUUUUCCUGAGUGAAUUUUUGACAAGGGUCCUCUUUCAUCACUUAAGAUGUCUUCCAAACAAAGCAUGAUGGUGACUUGGCCACUACAGUGUUCUUUUUACAGGUGCAAGUAAUCUCAUAGAUAACAUUUAGUAUAGAGUUGCUUAGGCUAGAAUAUGCACAG
Long non-coding RNA from Gallus gallus (chicken), 1029 nucleotides. Lineage: Eukaryota; Metazoa; Chordata; Aves; Galliformes; Phasianidae. The record is from Ensembl.